CCUAAGGGGUGCAGCAGUGGGGAAUAUUGGACAAUGGGCGAAAGCCUGAUCCAGCCAUGCCGCGUGUGUGAAGAAGGCCUUCGGGUUGUAAAGCACUUUCAGUGGGGAAGAAAGCCUUGGGGCUAAUACCCUCGAGGAAGGACAUCACCCACAGAAGAAGCACCGGCUAACUCCGUGCCAGCAGCCGCGGUAAUACGGAGGGUGCGAGCGUUAAUCGGAAUUACUGGGCGUAAAGCGCGCGUAGGCGGUCUGAUAAGCCGGUUGUGAAAGCCCCGGGCUCAACCUGGGAACGGCAUCCGGAACUGUCAGGCUAGAGUGCAGGAGAGGAAGGUAGAAUUCCCGGUGUAGCGGUGAAAUGCGUAGAGAUCGGGAGGAAUACCAGUGGCGAAGGCGGCCUUCUGGACUGACACUGACGCUGAGGUGCGAAAGCGUGGGUAGCAAACAGGAUUAGAUACCCUAGUAGUC
This 465-nucleotide ribosomal RNA is filed under the name Vreelandella stevensii. Its description in RNAcentral is "partial 16S ribosomal RNA". It matches the Rfam family "Bacterial small subunit ribosomal RNA", at positions 338 to 795 of the family's 1533-position model. The record is from RNAcentral. Lineage: Bacteria; Pseudomonadati; Pseudomonadota; Gammaproteobacteria; Oceanospirillales; Halomonadaceae.